Molecule: ribosomal RNA, 274 nt
Filed under: uncultured bacterium
Lineage: Bacteria
Description: partial 16S ribosomal RNA
Rfam family: Bacterial small subunit ribosomal RNA
Source: RNAcentral
AUACGGAGGGUGCAAGCGUUAAUCGGAAUUACUGGGCGUAAAGCGUGCGCAGGCGGUUUGUUAAGUCAGAUGUGAAAGCCCCGGGCUCAACCUGGGAACUGCAUUUGAAACUGGCAAACUAGAGUGUGGUAGAGGGAAGUGGAAUUCCUCAUGUAGCGGUGAAAUGCGUAGAUAUGAGGAGGAACACCAGUGGCGAAGGCGACUUCCUGGACCAACACUGACGCUCAUGUACGAAAGCGUGGGUAGCAAAAAGGAUUAGAAACCCCAGUAGUCC